UAACACGUGGGCAACCUGCCUGUAAGACUGGGAUAACUCCGGGAAACCGGAGCUAAUACCGGAUACUAUGUCAAACCGCAUGGUUUGACAUUCAAAGACGGUUUCGGCUGUCACUUACAGAUGGGCCCGCGGCGCAUUAGCUAGUUGGUGAGGUAACGGCUCACCAAGGCGACGAUGCGUAGCCGACCUGAGAGGGUGAUCGGCCACACUGGGACUGAGACACGGCCCAGACUCCUACGGGAGGCAGCAGUAGGGAAUCUUCCGCAAUGGACGAAAGUCUGACGGAGCAACGCCGCGUGAGUGAUGAAGGUUUUCGGAUCGUAAAACUCUGUUGUCAGGGAAGAACAAGUGCCGGAGUAACUGCCGGCGCCUUGACGGUACCUGACCAGAAAGCCACGGCUAACUACGUGCCAGCAGCCGCGGUAAUACGUAGGUGGCAAGCGUUGUCCGGAAUUAUUGGGCGUAAAGCGCGCGCAGGCGGUUUCUUAAGUCUGAUGUGAAAGCCCCCGGCUCAACCGGGGAGGGUCAUUGGAAACUGGGAAACUUGAGUGCAGAAGAGGAGAGUGGAAUUCCACGUGUAGCGGUGAAAUGCGUAGAGAUGUGGAGGAACACCAGUGGCGAAGGCGACUCUCUGGUCUGUAACUGACGCUGAGGCGCGAAAGCGUGGGGAGCGAACAGGAUUAGAUACCCUGGUAGUCCACGCCGUAAACGAUGAGUGCUAAGUGUUAGAGGGUUUCCGCCCUUUAGUGCUGCAGCUAACGCAUUAAGCACUCCGCCUGGGGAGUACGGUCGCAAGACUGAAACUCAAAGGAAUUGACGGGGGCCCGCACAAGCGGUGGAGCAUGUGGUUUAAUUCGAAGCAACGCGAAGAACCUUACCAGGUCUUGACAUCCUUUGCCACUUCUAGAGAUAGAAGGUUCCCCUUCGGGGGACAAAGUGACAGGUGGUGCAUGGUUGUCGUCAGCUCGUGUCGUGAGAUGUUGGGUUAAGUCCCGCAACGAGCGCAACCCUUGAUCUUAGUUGCCAGCAUUCAGUUGGGCACUCUAAGGUGACU
This 1054-nucleotide ribosomal RNA is filed under the name Metabacillus indicus. RNAcentral describes it as "bacterial SSU rRNA". It matches the Rfam family "Bacterial small subunit ribosomal RNA", at positions 111 to 1150 of the family's 1533-position model. Lineage: Bacteria; Bacillati; Bacillota; Bacilli; Caryophanales; Bacillaceae. The record is from RNAcentral.